Molecule: ribosomal RNA, 253 nt
Filed under: uncultured bacterium
Lineage: Bacteria
Description: partial 16S ribosomal RNA
Rfam family: Bacterial small subunit ribosomal RNA
Source: RNAcentral
UACGUAGGGUGCAGGCGUUAAUCGGAAUUACUGGGCGUAAAGCGUGCGCAGGCGGUUUCUUAAGUCAGAUGUGAAAGCCCCGGGCUUAACCUGGGAACUGCGUUUGAAACUGGGAGACUUGAGUGUGGCAGAGGGGGGUGGAAUUCCACGUGUAGCAGUGAAAUGCGUAGAUAUGUGGAGGAACACCGAUGGCGAAGGCAGCCCCCUGGGCUAACACUGACGCUCAGGCACGAAAGCGUGGGGAGCAAACAGG